Molecule: ribosomal RNA, 231 nt
Filed under: uncultured Eubacteriales bacterium
Lineage: Bacteria; Bacillati; Bacillota; Clostridia; Eubacteriales
Description: uncultured Clostridiales bacterium partial 16S ribosomal RNA
Rfam family: Bacterial small subunit ribosomal RNA
Source: RNAcentral
CGGGUGAGUAACGCGUGAGUAACCUGCCUUACACAAGGGGAUAGCCUUCGGAAACGAAGAAUAAUACCCUAUAAAACUAUAAAAGCACAUGCUAGAAUGGUCAAAGUGCUAGCGGUGUAAGAUGGACUUGCGUCUGAUUAGCUAGUUGGUGAGAUAAAAGCUCACCAAGGCAACGAUCAGUAGCCGGCUUGAGAGAGUGUACGGCCACAUUGGGACUGAGACACGGCCCAG